RNAcentral lists this ribosomal RNA (531 nucleotides) under bacterium enrichment culture clone jdg009. RNAcentral's name for it is "bacterial SSU rRNA". It matches the Rfam family "Bacterial small subunit ribosomal RNA", at positions 1 to 527 of the family's 1533-position model. The record is from RNAcentral.
UAGAGUUUGAUCAUGGCUCAGAUUGAACGCUGGCGGCAGGCCUAACACAUGCAAGUCGAACGGUAACAGGAAUCAGCUUGCUGAUUCGCUGACGAGUGGCGGACGGGUGAGUAAUGUCUGGGAAACUGCCUGAUGGAGGGGGAUAACUACUGGAAACGGUAGCUAAUACCGCAUAACGUCGCAAGACCAAAGAGGGGGACCUUCGGGCCUCUUGCCAUCGGAUGUGCCCAGAUGGGAUUAGCUAGUAGGUGGGGUAACGGCUCACCUAGGCGACGAUCCCUAGCUGGUCUGAGAGGAUGACCAGCCACACUGGAACUGAGACACGGUCCAGACUCCUACGGGAGGCAGCAGUGGGGAAUAUUGCACAAUGGGCGCAAGCCUGAUGCAGCCAUGCCGCGUGUAUGAAGAAGGCCUUCGGGUUGUAAAGUACUUUCAGCGGGGAGGAAGGGGGUAAAGUUAAUACCUUUGCUCAUUGACGUUACCCGCAGAAGAAGCACCGGCUAACUCCGUGCCAGCAGCCGCGGUAAUACA